This 450-nucleotide ribosomal RNA is filed under the name uncultured bacterium. RNAcentral describes it as "bacterial SSU rRNA". It matches the Rfam family "Bacterial small subunit ribosomal RNA", at positions 354 to 796 of the family's 1533-position model. The record is from RNAcentral.
GUGGGGAAUUUUGGACAAUGGGCGAAAGCCUGAUCCAGCCAUGCCGCGUGUGUGAAGAAGGCCUUCGGGUUGUAAAGCACUUUUGUCCGGAACGAAACGGCAAGGGCGAAUAUCCCUUGUUAAUGACGGUACCGGGAGAAUAAGCACCGGCUAACUACGUGCCAGCAGCCGCGGUAAUACGUAGGGUGCAAGCGUUAAUCGGAAUUACUGGGCGUAAAGCGUGCGCAGGCGGUUCCGCAAGUCAGAUGUGAAAUCCCCGGGCUCAACCUGGGAACUGCAUUUGAAACUACGGGGCUAGAGUGUGUCAGAGGGGGGUGGAAUUCCACGUGUAGCAGUGAAAUGCGUAGAGAUGUGGAGGAACACCAAUGGCGAAGGCAGCCCCCUGGGAUGACACUGACGCUCAUGCACGAAAGCGUGGGGAGCAAACAGGAUUAGAAACCCUGGUAGUCC